This 74-nucleotide transfer RNA is filed under the name Candidatus Jorgensenbacteria bacterium RIFCSPLOWO2_12_FULL_42_11. RNAcentral's name for it is "tRNA-Ile". It matches the Rfam family "tRNA". From Rfam's summary of the family: Transfer RNA (tRNA) molecules are approximately 80 nucleotides in length. The record is from RNAcentral. Lineage: Bacteria; Candidatus Joergenseniibacteriota.
GCGCGUGUAGCUCAGCUGGUUAGAGCAUGCGACUUAUAAUCGUAAGGUCCUUGGUUCGAAUCCAAGCACGCGCA